Long non-coding RNA from Tupaia belangeri chinensis (Chinese tree shrew), 867 nucleotides. RefSeq lists it as uncharacterized. The record is from RefSeq and is a predicted model, not a curated record. The transcript has 3 exons. NCBI's taxonomy places the organism in Eukaryota, Metazoa, Chordata, Mammalia, Scandentia, Tupaiidae.
CCAGACGCCCACCUGCCGCUCUUCUGUCUUAGACUUCCAGCCUCAGAACUUGUUGAAGAGGCAGCUGUGGCUAAUUAACAUCAGGCCAUGAAAACCUAUUUGUAGCAAAUCCAAGCGGAAGCCAAUAAAACAGGUUGCCAGGCCAACGGCGGGGCUGAGAGCAAGAUGGAACGUAAUGGAACUGCCCCGGAACUGAAGGGAGUGAUGCUCACAGUGUCGCUUACGGAGGGUGUCCAAGCAGAAGCCGACUUGGUGACCAAAAUUCCUGGGAACAGAAGAUCAUGACCAGUGGACAUUGUCUCAAAGGGAGAGAAAGCCAUGGUAAUUUUAGACUUAGGAGGGCAGUGAGAAGGAGUUGGUUGUGACUCUGGCGGGCAGGACGAGGCUCCCUGAGACACCCACACCCGAAUCUCAGGAGUCCCUGCUCUGUGAUCUCACAUGGCAAGGGGGCUUUGUAGGGGUAAUUAUGACCAUGACCUUGAGGUGGAGCGAUGUCUGGGUCACCAACACACAAUUCCUUAGGCUCAGAGUACCUUUCCCACCUGCACCGGAGUGUGGCCAUGGGAGAGGCUGUGCGACUCUGAAGAUGGAGGAGGGAGUGAGGCACCAGGAAGACUGCAGCCUGCAGAACCCGAGAAGGCUUCUGGAAGGAGCCAGCCCUGCGGACACCUGGGCUGUAACCAGUGAGACCCACGCAGAGCUUCCAUCCCCCGGUGCAGUUAUGCCACACAUCUGCGUUAACAACCGGCCUGUGUCAUUUGUUCCAAUAGCGCUGAAAGCCUAGUGAGUGAAGCUCUCUGUUGAAGGAUGGACACAGCUCUGAGACCAGCAGAUGAUGCAUUGGUUAUGCCACUGAACUCUCAUGUA